This 985-nucleotide ribosomal RNA is filed under the name human gut metagenome. RNAcentral describes it as "bacterial LSU rRNA". It matches the Rfam family "Bacterial large subunit ribosomal RNA", at positions 1942 to 2925 of the family's 2925-position model. The record is from RNAcentral.
AUAACGGUCCUAAGGUAGCGAAAUUCCUUGUCAGGUAAGUUCUGACCCGCACGAAUGGCGUAAUGAUUUGGGCACUGUCUCAACAGCCCGCCCGGCGAAAUUGUAGUACUGGUGAAGAUGCCAGUUACCCGCAACUAGACGGAAAGACCCCAUGGAGCUUUACUGCAGCUUAAUACUGAAAUUCGGUAGUACAUGUACAGGAUAGGUGGGAGACUGAGAAAUACAGGCGUCAGCUUGUAUGGAGUCGCUGUUGGGAUACCACUCUUGUACUGCUGGGUUUCUAACCUGCGGCCGUGAAUCCGGUCGGGGGACACUGUUAGGCGGGCAGUUUGACUGGGGCGGUCGCCUCCCAAAAGGUAACGGAGGCGCUCAAAGGUUCGUUCAGCACGGACGGAAAUCGUGCAAUGAGUGUAAACGCAUAAACGAGCCUAACUGCGACACCGACGGGUGGAGCAGUAACGAAAGUUGGAGUUAGUGAUCCGGUGGUAUGUGAGUGGAAAUGCCAUCGCUCAACGGAUAAAAGUUACCCUGGGGAUAACAGGCUGAUCUCCCCCAAGAGUCCACAUCGACGGGGAGGUUUGGCACCUCGAUGUCGGCUCAUCGCAUCCUGGGGCUGAAUUCGGUCCCAAGGGUUUGGCUGUUCGCCAAUUAAAGCGGCACGCGAGCUGGGUUCAGAACGUCGUGAGACAGUUCGGUCCCUAUCUGUUGCGGGCGUAAGAGAUUUGAAGGGAGCUGUCCUUAGUACGAGAGGACCGGGAUGGACGUACCUCUGGUGCACCAGUUGUCCUGCCAAGGGCAUAGCUGGGUAGCUAUGUACGGACGAGAUAAACGCUGAAAGCAUCUAAGCGUGAAACUCCCCCUAAGAUGAGAUCUCUCAUCCUUCAAGGAGUAAGGACCCAGAAAGACGAUCUGGUUGAUAGGCCGAAGGUGGAAGCGCAGUAAUGUGUGCAGCUGAUCGGUACUAAUAGUCCGAGGGCUUGACCUA